CGCCGCCGCCGCCGCGCAGGUAUGCGAGUUGCCCGGUCUCCGUGUCGGCCGCUUCGUGGGAAUGGGGCGGUAUGCGAGGCGGUGACUCGCGAGCCGGGAAAAGAGCUCCGGGGCUCAGCCGCGCCUCGGGAUGGCGGGUUGGAGGGUCCGUGUCCUGCUGCUGCCCCGAGGAAGGUGCGGAGCUGAAGGAGCCGCUGCUGCUGCUGCCGCCGCCUUUUUCCAAAGCAAUGCAUGAGAAAUCAGGGCUCAUGCACAACCUGGACAAGCUGGAAUCCUGGCACAAGGAGAAGAACUUGGACUCUCCAAAUGGCAGCUUGAAUCUGGACAAUGCUGUAAAGAAUGAAGAACUCAAGAAAUGUCCCCAAGAAGUCACGGCUCCCAAUAAAUAUAAUUCUCAGUAUCACAAGUUAUUCAAGGACAUCCCCACUGAAGAGAGUGUGGUUAAAGUCUGCUCCUGUGCUCUGCAGCGAGACAUCCUUAUCCAAGGCCGCCUCUACAUUUCUCCAAACUGGCUCUGCUUCUACGCAAACCUUUUUGGGAAAGAUAUCAAGGUUGUUAUUCCUGUGGUCUCCGUCCAACUAAUAAAAAAGCACAAAACAGCCCGGUUGUUGCCAAAUGGACUCGCGAUCACCACAAACGCCAGCCGAAAAUAUAUCUUCGUGUCCCUCAUUUCCAGAGAUAGCGUCUAUGACGUCCUGCGGCGUGUCUGCACCCACUUACAGGUCUCCAGCAAAAAAAGUCUGAGUUUGAAAGAAUUCACCGAAGAGCCAGACGCAGUAGCCUUGGAGGUCAUCGUCCCAGAGGUGAAGUGGAGAAGGAGGUCCACGGCGUCCCUCUCGCUCGCCCUCCCGGAUGCUGGCUUCCAAUGCAUCCACCGAACUUCCCUCAGCAACCUCAGCGCUAAGGAGAGCUCCUGCAACUCCGAGGAGCCCCUGGUGUCAGAAAGCACAGUAAACUCCGAGGAGGAAGAGGAUGAGGAAGAAGAGGAAGAGGAGGAGGAGUUAGUAGUGGACGAAAGCUACAAAGCAGAACUGAGACCAGCUGAUUAUCAGCUGCUGAAAAUCUUCAUAGUGUUAAUCUGCCUUUUGGUGUUGUCCUCAUCGUACCUGGCCUUCCGAAUCUUCCGGCUGGAGCAGCAACUCUCCUCCUUGAACCAGGAUUACCUUUCCCGAGUAUCUCAAAGAUGAUUGCAGCACAAGGAAGAUGGGAGAAGAUCAAACGUCACCUUAAACUCAGGUCCAAGAAGGUAAUGUGGCUGCUAUGAAGAUGGGGACAAGUGGGACGCUGGUUCUCUUUCCAUUCUUGUUGGACCAAAGCAGUGAGGGAUACUUCAGGUGCUUCCUCACCUCCAAGCACCCCGUUGGAGGCUUUACACGUUGCAUUGACUCUGCUAGAACAUCUUAGGUCCUAGCUAGACUGGUCCAAGAGUGGCAGUUCCAGCCACAAUUUCAGUGCUUGUCCUCCUCAGCGAUGACAAAGUUAUGGAACUUACUCUCAACAGUGCCAGCAACAUUGGAGAUUGCACUAGAGGACUUAUCCAAGGUUCUUCCUUGCACUUUGGAACAGCAGCACUUAGAAGGACUCGGCUGCUCUUACCUGUGACCUUCAUGGCCCUCGGGACACGCUCUCCAGGGGGCUAUUUGAAAUGCCAGAUAGACAUGGCUGGAUUCUCCUCCGGAGAGGGUUCUUCCCGGGGGUGCCCGUUGCCAGCACUUGUGGCCUCUUUUCCCGUGGAAGGCGGGUGGCUGGAUAGUUAUCACUCCUGCAAGGAAAACACAACCAGUCAACGAAGAUGACUAGUAAAUAAUGUUUGACUAAGGAUGAGUAGGAGUUUUCAGCGGUCCCCUCUCUGCCCUUUCACGCCCCAGUAUUCCGAGUUCUCCUUAGGACCAUUUUUCUUGCACUAACAGACCCCCCCCCCCCAAACAAUGCUGCUGUAGUGAUUUGCACCCCUGCAAAAUUUCCAGAGAGCCAAAGUGACUUGGAGGAGAUGGGUGCCUCUCGGCUGCCAGGCAAGCCCAACGUUCUUAUGGACUGGAGCCAACUGAACAUGCCGGGGCUGUUGGGUAGACAGCUACAUCAGGGUCUUUUCGGGAAAACGUAAAAGAAGCGUCUCGGAGAUUGAGCGGCAGCCCAAAAUGCCCUUCCUGUUGGUCUGCCUCCUUAAACUAAAAACUGUAGCUUGGCUUUGAUGGGCUGAAAAAAGCGGGGGAGAGGGGAGCCCACCCCACGCAGUAGACCAGUUUGUGAAAUCAACUCUGCAGGAGGAUUACAGUUGCUUUGAGAUUGGCUAUAUGAAUUAUAUCCCCUCCCCCUUUUUAUAGUUCAAUACACUAGGGAGGUGUCCAUCUGAGUCACUUCCAGAUGUUGGUUGGCUGGUUGAGUGCUGGUUGGUUGGGUGGUUGGUUGAGUGGUUGGUUGGUUGGUUGGUU
This is a non-coding RNA of Notechis scutatus (mainland tiger snake), 2432 nucleotides long. The record is from RefSeq and is a predicted model, not a curated record. NCBI's taxonomy places the organism in Eukaryota, Metazoa, Chordata, Lepidosauria, Squamata, Elapidae.